Molecule: ribosomal RNA, 253 nt
Filed under: uncultured bacterium
Lineage: Bacteria
Description: partial 16S ribosomal RNA
Rfam family: Bacterial small subunit ribosomal RNA
Source: RNAcentral
UACAGAGGUCUCAAGCGUUGUUCGGAAUCACUGGGCGUAAAGGGUGCGUAGGCGGCACGGUAAGUCAGAGGUGAAAUCCCGGAGCUCAACUUCGGAAUUGCCUCCGAUACUGCCGUGCUUGAGGACUGGAGAGGAGAUUGGAAUUCACAGUGGAGCAGUGAAAUGCGUAGAUAUUGUGAGGAACACUAGUGGCGAAGGCGAAUCUCUGGACAGUUCCUGACGCUGAGGCACGAAGGCCAGGGGAGCGAACGGG